GAUGAAGAACGUAGCAAAAUGCGAUAAGUAAUGUGAAUUGCAGAAUUUCCGUGAAUCAUCGAAUCUUUGAACGCACAUUGCGCCCGCUAGUAUUCUGGCGGGCAUGCCUGUUCGAGCGUCAUUUCAACCAUCAAGCCUCAGGCUUGUGUUGGAGCCCUGCGGCUGCCGCGGCCUCCCAAAAACAGUGGCGGGCUCGCUAUCACACCGAGUGCAGUAGUUUACUCUUCGCUCAGGGCGUGUGGCGGGUGCUAGCCGUGAAACCCCCUACUUCUCAAGGUUGACCUCGGAUCAGGUAGGAAUACCCGCUGAACUUAAGCAUAUCAAUAAGCGGAGGA
Molecule: unclassified non-coding RNA, 335 nt
Filed under: soil metagenome
Description: partial contains 5.8S ribosomal RNA, internal transcribed spacer 2, and large subunit ribosomal RNA
Rfam family: 5.8S ribosomal RNA (bases 1-121)
Source: RNAcentral